This 253-nucleotide ribosomal RNA is filed under the name uncultured bacterium. RNAcentral's name for it is "partial 16S ribosomal RNA". It matches the Rfam family "Bacterial small subunit ribosomal RNA", at positions 524 to 776 of the family's 1533-position model. The record is from RNAcentral.
UACGGAGGGGGCUAGCGUUAUUCGGAAUUAUUGGGCGUAAAGGGCGUGUAGGCGGCUUUGUGUGUCCCAUGUGAAAGCCCUCGGCUCAACCGGGGAACUGCAUGGGAAGCUGCAGAGCUUGAGUCCGGGAGAGGAUAGUGGAAUUCCCAGUGUAGCGGUGAAAUGCGUAGAUAUUGGGAGGAACACCGGUGGCGAAGGCGGCUAUCUGGACCGGUACUGACGCUGAGGAGCGAAAGCGUGGGGAGCGAACAGG